AGCCAGGGCUGAGGGUGGGGACAGUGGCCCUUGCAGGCAUCUGUGCAGAGGUCAGGUGAGGACAAAUGAAGCUUGGACAAAGUAACAGGGUAGAAUUUUACUUAGACGUGAGCAAACACAUAAUGAAACUAGAGUGCAUUCAUGCAUCUGCAAGAGGGUAAUUCGGUGCAAAACUGACAUUGAAACUUUCCUGACUGGUGCCUUGAAGGCGCCUCCAGAGGCUGACACCUUGGGCCGUGCCCUCUGUCCUCCCUUCUGCGUCCCUCUGGGACAGACUCGAACCGUGGCUACCUCGUAUGAAGGGCAUUCUGGGGGAUGGAGUGGAUGCUGUGGUGCACCCAGAGCCCCUUUAUCAGGUCAAGUGCAUCCAGCCGGUUGCUAACACAGCGGCCCUCUCUUCGGGGAAAAUUACUCUCAGCCAAUGGACGGCUGGUGUUGACUCCCCUCCCCCAGCCCCGUUUCCUGGAGGCCAAUGACGGUGGGGGUCAGGGCGGGGCGGGGAUGAGGUAAUAAAAAGCUGACUCUUUGCCCCCAGGCCUAGAUUUGCCCUGCUGUUCAUGCUCCAGAGUCUCCUGGGGGUCAGCGCUCACCCUGACCUGGCUUUUUCUCCUGGCCGAACCUGCCUCUGCUCUCUUACUCCCACAGGUGUUCCUGACCAUCUCAGGAGGUCCAGAGCCUGGAGAAGUGCCUUGAGGAUGAGAACUGCAGCCCAGAGACAGGAAGUGCCUUGUGAGUUGACCCAAACCAGGCUGUCACCCAUGCAAGGCAGGUUCUCACAUGUCCCUUGGCUUGUUGCUGCGUGUUCUCGGGGAAGUUGCUGCACCUCUCCAGGCUCGAUUUUUCCUUUCCUGUAGGAUGAAGGCUUUGGAUUGGAUGCCCAAACAGUGUAGGGGAAUGCGCUGGAGAGGCCCGGGCAUAAAUCCUGGCUGUGUGAUCUAGGAGAGUCAUGUCAGCCUCGAAACCUCAAGCAGCAUCCCCCUCACCACCGCCAUCACCGCGAGUCCCCCACGGGCUUGCUGUGCGGAAACCCCAUCAUUCUUAGUUGUGUUACUUGGACAGACUCAUCUGUUCCUGAGGACAACCCUGGGAAGCGAGUCCUAUCCUUCUCCCCAGUUUAUAGAGGAGGCAGCUGGAGGCCCGCAGAACUCAAGAAACUUAUCCAAGGUCAUGAACUUUUUAGGGAUGUCCCAGGGAAGGAUUCAAUGUCCACCGUGUCCCCAGGCGGCUGGCAGAUAGUGGGCCAGGCGCUCCGUAAACGUCAGUCCCCCACCUCCAAUCUAGUCUGUACCUUCCAGGAGUCUGUCACCACAGCCAAGGCUCACAGGAAUCAGGAGACUUUUACACACCAUAUGGCUAUAGAAUUAAUAAAGUGUUGUAAUCAAAGAUUGGAAAAGAGAUUAGGGGACUCAGCUCCUGGAGCAGAACUAUGAAAAAAGGAAGAAGCCGCUCAGCUCUGCAAUAGAGGAGUGGGAAUGGGGCCCAGGCCUCCUCUUAGAUGCUGGGCAAACACCAGGCAAGGGAGCAUCCCUAACCAGCUCAAUGUGUCUGCUGUCGGCAGUAAAGACGAGGCUUAUUGGCGCUAUGGUAACGGGAGAACGGAGGAGGAACAAAAGGACCUCUUUGGAGGGAGGUAAGGAGGCAGGUUUAUUACCUCAGCAAAGAGGGCUUCUUGGAGACCCCCGUCCUGAUAACAGAAGACAGAGCCCCCCUCACCUAGCCUCGGGGUUGCCAUCCUCCCCAACCUCUGGCCUUUGCUCCUCAUCCCUGAACUUCUGGUGACACAUCUACCCCCUGUCCCAUCAGCAGAAAUCAGAAUGGGCUUCCUGACUUCGCUGUCCUCCAGUGCAACCUAGAGACCGGCGCUUCAGUGAGGGGGAGGGGUCCUAGAAUGUUCCUCAGCCGGCUGCAAGUCAAGGAGCUAGUGGUCACGGACACUGGCUCUGCAGUUUGCAGGGACUGUGUGACCUUGAGCAAGUGACUUGGCAUCUCCGAACCUACAGAAAAAUUGGGAUGACCGUGAUCCCACUACACAGAGCAGUUACGAAGAUUAGUGAGCUAAUGCACACGUCCUAGCAUCAGGGAGGGCCUGGGUCAGUGGCAGCUUAGCCUCCUACAUACUGAGCCGUAAGUGACCCGCUGGUGUAGGCUGUGUACACAACCUAGAAACUGCCUGAGGAGGGGUGAUCCACUCCUCCUGGGCCACCUUAAAACCAGUGUGACUUACCUUCCUCUCCAGAAGGAGCAGAAAGGAGGCUGGCCCUGGCUCCAGAUGCAGCCAAUCCAGAACUGCUAAUAGAGUUUCUUGCCCCCGCCCUGGGCUGCCCUCUGUGCAGGGCUGGCUGGACCUGCCAGCCUCGGGUCGGGGGGGGUGUGUUAAUUUAGGAUCAUUCCUGCUCCCCAUCUACACCCACCUGGAGGAGUCCAAAGCCCCAAAUCUCAGCCUCUCAGUAGGAGAAGGAGGGGAGACAGAAUCUGAACAAGUUCCAGCUUGAAUUCCUUCCUCUCCAGGGACAGUUGGCCAAAGGGACAGGGGUGAGGCCUGCUUCCUGUAACUCCACCUACCAAAGCCUUGGUCUCACAUCUACACCUCAUUAAUCCCUGUACUUUACCAAGAGGUGGGAGGACAAACCAGCAAGAGCAGGGCCUCUGCAGCCAGGCUGCCUGGGCUUACCAGUGCUUACCAGUGCUUACCAGCUCCGCAACCUUGGACAAAUUGCUUACCCUCUCUGUGCCUCUGUUUCCUCAUCUAUAAAUUGGAGAUGAUAAUAGAAGUCAGUUCCCAGUGUGCUGUUGUAAGGAUUAGAUACUAAUAGGGACAAAGAUUUCAAACAAUUCCGGGCACAUGGUAAAUGUCAAUUGUCAUGAUCAGCUGCUGGUCCAUCUGGUGUCACUGUGGGCCCUGGCGAUGGUGGGAUGUCUAGAUAUUAAAAAUGGGGCAGGAGCUCCCAUCAUGGCUCAGUGGUUAAUGAAUCCGAUUAGGAACCAUGAGGUUGCAGGUUCGAUC
This is an RNA transcript of Sus scrofa (pig), 3004 nucleotides long. RefSeq lists it as uncharacterized. The record is from RefSeq and is a predicted model, not a curated record. Lineage: Eukaryota; Metazoa; Chordata; Mammalia; Artiodactyla; Suidae.